Molecule: ribosomal RNA, 433 nt
Filed under: uncultured bacterium
Lineage: Bacteria
Description: partial 16S ribosomal RNA
Rfam family: Bacterial small subunit ribosomal RNA
Source: RNAcentral
AACGAACGCUGGCGGCAUGCCUAACACAUGCCAGUCGAACGAGACCUUCGGGUCUAGUGGCGCACGGGUGCGUAACGCGUGGGAACCUGCCCUUAGGUUCGGAAUAACUCCCCGAAAGGGGUGCUAAUACCGGAUAAUGUCUUCGGACCAAAGAUUUAUCGCCUUUGGAUGGGCCCGCGUUGGAUUAGCUAGUUGGUAGGGUAAAAGCCUACCAAGGCGACGAUCCAUAGCUGGUCUGAGAGGAUGAUCAGCCACACUGGGACUGAGACACGGCCCAGACUCCUACGGGAGGAAGCAGUGGGGAAUAUUGGAAAAUGGGCGAAAGCCUGAUCCAGCAAUGCCGCGUGAGUGAUGAAGGCCUUAGGGUUGUAAAGCUCUUUUACCCGGGAUGAUAAUGACAGUACCGGGAGAAUAAGCUCCGGCUAACUCCGUG